This 483-nucleotide ribosomal RNA is filed under the name uncultured bacterium. RNAcentral's name for it is "partial 16S ribosomal RNA". It matches the Rfam family "Bacterial small subunit ribosomal RNA", at positions 30 to 507 of the family's 1533-position model. The record is from RNAcentral.
UUGAACGCUGGCGGCAGGCCUAACACAUGCCAGUCGAGCGGAUGAAGGGAGCUUGCUCCUGGAUUCAGCGGCGGACGGGUGAGUAAUGCCUAGGAAUCUGCCUGGUAGUGGGGGAUAACGUCCGGAAACGGGCGCUAAUACCGCAUACGUCCUGAGGGAGAAAGUGGGGGAUCUUCGGACCUCAUGCUAUCAGAUGAGCCUAGGUCGGAUUAGCUAGUUGGUGGGGUAAAGGCCUACCAAGGCGACGAUCCGUAACUGGUCUGAGAGGAUGAUCAGUCACACUGGAACUGAGACACGGUCCAGACUCCUACGGGAGGCAGCAGUGGGGAAUAUUGGACAAUGGGCGAAAGCCUGAUCCAGCCAUGCCGCGUGUGUGAAGAAGGUCUUCGGAUUGUAAAGCACUUUAAGUUGGGAGGAAGGGCAGUAAGUUAAUACCUUGCUGUUUUGACGUUACCAACAGAAUAAGCACCGGCUAACUUCGUG